GGGCGUGUAGGCGGUCUUUCAAGUCCGAUGCUAAAGACUGGGGCUCAACCCCAGGGGUGCGUUGGAUACUGUGAGGCUAGACGGUCGGAGGGGGUAGCGGAAUUUCCGGAGUAGCGGUGAAAUGCGCAGAUACCGGAAGGAACGCCAAUAGCGAAGGCAGCUACCUGGACGACUUGUGACGCUGAGGCGCGAAAGCGUGGGGAGCAAACCGGAUUAGAUACCCGGGUAGUCCACGCCCUAAACCAUGAGUGCUGGGUGUCCGGCUUCUGCUGGGUGCCGUAGCUAACGCGCUAAGCACUCCGCCUGGGAAGUACGCACGCAAGUGUGAAACUCAAAGGAAUUGACGGGGGCCCGCACAAGCGGUGGAGCAUGUGGUUUAAUUCGAAGCGACGCGAAGAACCUUACCAGGCCUUGACAUGCCCGGAACCCCUCUGAAAGGAGGGGGUGCCCGCAAGGGAGCCGGGACACAGGUGCUGCAUGGCCGUCGUCAGCUCGUGUCGUGAGAUGUUGGGUUAAGUCCCGCAACGAGCGCAACCCCUAUCCCUAGUUGCCAGCAGUUCGGCUGGGCACUCUAUGGAGACUGCCUGCGAAAGCAGGAGGAAGGCGGGGAUGACGUCUGGUCCGCAUGGCCCUUACGGCCUGGGCGACACACGUGCUACAAUGCCAAGGACAGAGCGCUGCUACCUCGCGAGAGGACGCCAAUCGCAAAAACCUUGGCUCAGUUCGGAUUGGAGUCUGCAACUCGACUCCAUGAAGCCGGAAUCGCUUAGUAAUCGCGAAUCAGGCAUGU
Molecule: ribosomal RNA, 790 nt
Filed under: uncultured Thermaceae bacterium
Lineage: Bacteria; Thermotogati; Deinococcota; Deinococci; Thermales; Thermaceae
Description: bacterial SSU rRNA
Rfam family: Bacterial small subunit ribosomal RNA
Source: RNAcentral